CGGGCCGUGGCGCAGCAUGGUUAGCGCGUCUGACUGGGGGUCAGAAGGUCGGCGGUUCGAAUCCGCCCGGCCCGA
RNAcentral lists this transfer RNA (75 nucleotides) under Actinomycetota bacterium. RNAcentral's name for it is "tRNA-Pro". It matches the Rfam family "tRNA". From Rfam's summary of the family: Transfer RNA (tRNA) molecules are approximately 80 nucleotides in length. Their secondary structure includes four short double-helical elements and three loops (D, anti-codon, and T loops). The record is from RNAcentral. Lineage: Bacteria; Bacillati; Actinomycetota.